This is a non-coding RNA of Camellia sinensis, 1329 nucleotides long. NCBI's taxonomy places the organism in Eukaryota, Viridiplantae, Streptophyta, Magnoliopsida, Ericales, Theaceae. The record is from RefSeq and is a predicted model, not a curated record.
AUUACCUUUUAAAAAAUAUUGACGUGGCGAGCAUGAGGUGCUCAAACUAGACAUCCAAUUCGGGUAGAUUACCUUUCUUAUUGGCAUUCACGAGACAAUAAUACUACAAACUUACAAAAAAUGUGUAGAAAAAUAUGCAAAAUUUGAAUUAGAUUAAUCCUGGGUGUAGCCUAUUUAAUAAUAUAAUACUAAGGUUUAAAUCUAUACUACACAUUUAAAUUUUGAGCAAUGUCGUAACAUUCCAAGGUGGAUGUUUGACCCCUAGACUAAUAAGGUUGAUAAAUACCUAAACAGAAUCUAACUCAAUUCAUAAAUGAAUUACACCUCCAUAACAGUAGCUUAAUCUGAGAUCAAGUUUAACCAAGCAUCAAUCUAUGGUCAAUAAGUUGCUAGUAAGAAAUAUAACGCAAAUCCCUUUAUUUUUAUUUAUGUUUUUUAUAUGGUUUCAAAGCGCGGAAACAAUAUUUUCAUAUAUGGGUAAAAGUUUCGUAGAUCUUGCUGGGUUCAAAGCAUGGAAACAACAUUUCCAUACAUGGUGGAUGGUACUCGUGCACACACACGCCUUUCCUCAUAUGCCAUCAUAGUUGGGGAUAGCUGAUUUUUGAGUUGUCAUAUGAAAAUGAGCAAAACUUGGUCCUAAUGACAAGGGUAAUGCUGGAUAAUUAAUUCAAUGAAGCACUUAUUAAUUAUAAUUUCAAAUUUUUUCUUAUCGUAAUUAACAAAAUAAGAUGAUAAUAAAAGGAACAGAAACAACUGUAGUGAGCUCAGCUUUGGUUUGAGACUGAACCAGACCAGAUGAAAUCAAGUUGUACUUCUUGACAUAAUGGGUCGGUGUUCUUUCCUGGUUAUGUAAAACUGGGACAGCUGAUUUAUUCAAAUAAUUGGGAUCAAGCGAGAGCAAUUUGCUCUGGGGCAAAUUGAGGUCAAAUAUCUUGCUCAGUUGCUCCAUGUGGACUUGACGGUUAGAGAUGUCCAUGUGGUGGGAAUCAUGCAUGAUGUAUCCUGUAGAAAAAAGUGUUGCACCUUUGAUGUUUACUCAAUAUUAACCCGCUUUAGUUUAGUCUGUUGGCAUAGUCUGUUGGCAUAUGUCCAGUCUUGCUUCUCUUGAAUUCACACACAUUGGCAGACUAUUGACUGUUGCUUAAGCAGGUAUUUGGUGCUCUAAGGACAACAAUGUUCAUAUUAGGAAUGAUUUCUGUAUUCAUAGGCAUUUCUUUGCUGGCACCAGACGAGGCAAAAGGGAAAGCUUUGGUUUCUCCAAUUGAGAGAUAUGCAGUUGUUCCUGAUGACAACGUCAAAAGGAUAAAUUUUCCCGAGGGGAAGAUCUGA